This 472-nucleotide ribosomal RNA is filed under the name uncultured bacterium. RNAcentral's name for it is "partial 16S ribosomal RNA". It matches the Rfam family "Bacterial small subunit ribosomal RNA", at positions 30 to 507 of the family's 1533-position model. The record is from RNAcentral.
AGUGAACGCUGGCGGUAGGCCUAACACAUGCAAGUCGAACGGCAGCACAGUAAGAGCUUGCUCUUACGGGUGGCGAGUGGCGGACGGGUGAGGAAUACAUCGGAAUCUACUUUUUCGUGGGGGAUAACGUAGGGAAACUUACGCUAAUACCGCAUACGACCUACGGGUGAAAGCAGGGGAUCUUCGGACCUUGCGCGAUUGAAUGAGCCGAUGUCGGAUUAGCUAGUUGGCGGGGUAGAGGCCCACCAAGGCGACGAUCCGUAGCUGGUCUGAGAGGAUGAGAGGCGAAAGGGGGACGGAGAGGCGGCCGAGACUGCGAGGGGAGGCAGGAGUGGGGAAUAUUGAACAAUGGGAGGAAGGAUGAAGCAGCAACGACGCGUGCGGGAUGACGGCAUGCGGGCCGGAAACAGCUGGAGCCGGGGACGAAGGGGGAGGGACGGGAAGGGGUAAAGAAGCACGGGCUAACUACGUG